This 73-nucleotide transfer RNA is filed under the name Procavia capensis (Cape rock hyrax). Its description in RNAcentral is "tRNA-Lys (TTT) (tRNA-Lys-TTT-6-1)". It matches the Rfam family "tRNA". From Rfam's summary of the family: Transfer RNA (tRNA) molecules are approximately 80 nucleotides in length. Their secondary structure includes four short double-helical elements and three loops (D, anti-codon, and T loops). Lineage: Eukaryota; Metazoa; Chordata; Mammalia; Hyracoidea; Procaviidae. The record is from RNAcentral.
GCCUGAGUAGCUCAGCUGGUAGAGCAUCAGACUUUUAAUCUGAGGGUCCAGGGUUCAAGUCCCUGUUCAGGCG